AUUGAACGCUGGCGGCAGGCCUAACACAUGCAAGCCGAGCGGAGCGGCGGACGGGAGAGUAAUGCCUAGGAAUCUGCCUGGCAGUGGGGGAUAACGUCCGGAAACGGGCGCUAAUACCGCAUACUAUCAUAUGAGCCUAGGUCGGAUUAGCUAGUGGGUGGGGUAAAGGCAUACCAAGGCGACGAGCCGUAACUGGUCUGAGAGGAUGAUCAGUCACACUGUAACUGAGACACGGUCCAUAGUCCUACGGUAGGCAGCAGUGAGGAGGAUUGGACAAUGGGCGAAAGCCUGAUCCAGCCAUGCCGCGUGUGUGAUGAAGGUCUUCGGAUUGUAAAGCACUUUAAGUUGGGAGGCGUUACCAACAGAAUGGGGACCGGCGAACUUCGGGCCAGCAGCCGCGGUAAUUC
This 407-nucleotide ribosomal RNA is filed under the name uncultured bacterium. Its description in RNAcentral is "partial 16S ribosomal RNA". It matches the Rfam family "Bacterial small subunit ribosomal RNA", at positions 30 to 526 of the family's 1533-position model. The record is from RNAcentral.